CAAUAGCGUAUAUUAAAGUUGUUGCAGUUAAAAGCUCGUAGUUGGAGUUCAGAGUGAGCUCGUCCGGUCGGCCUUAUGGGUCAGAACUGGGUGACUUUCUCUUGCUUGUGGAUCCCGUCCGGAGUUAACUCUUCGGAUGUGGACUCCACAUCGUUUACCUUGAAAAAAUUAGAGUGUUCAAGCGGGCGUUUUGCUUGAAUAUAUUAGCAUGGAAUAAUGGAAUAGGACCCUGGUUCUAUUUUGUUGGUUUUGAGAACCAGAGUAAUGAUUAAUAGGGAUAGUGGGGGCAUUCAUAUUUCAUUGUCAGAGGUGAAAUUCUUGGAUUUAUGAAAGAUGAACUUCUGCGAAAGCAUUUGCCAAGGAUGUUUUCAUUAAUCAAGAACGAAAGUUAGGGGAUCGAAGAUGAUUAGAU
This 412-nucleotide ribosomal RNA is filed under the name uncultured eukaryote. RNAcentral describes it as "bacterial SSU rRNA". It matches the Rfam family "Eukaryotic small subunit ribosomal RNA", at positions 592 to 1013 of the family's 1831-position model. The record is from RNAcentral.